Molecule: unclassified non-coding RNA, 1365 nt
Filed under: Zea mays
Lineage: Eukaryota; Viridiplantae; Streptophyta; Magnoliopsida; Poales; Poaceae
Description: misc RNA Zm00001eb390890
Source: RNAcentral
CCCCUAGCCGCCAUCAGCCAUCUCCCCCACGCCAGCCCUCUUCCUCCUUGGCAUGCAUGCCCUCUGCUCUCUGCCUUCCAUGGCCGUCGGCCUCCACAGCACAGCAGUCACGGACGCCCCUGCCACUGCUCCAAAUGGCGAGCAACUCCCCUCGGCCAGCCAUGGCGCCCCCCUGCUCCUUCUUCCUCGGCGCGCUGAAGCUUUCCCCCAUGGCAGCGAGCUCGAGUUUCUCCCAUGGCGCCUUCCCAUGUUCUUCCCUGCUCGGCCAGCAACCAGGGCGUCCAAAGCCCCUGUGCUCGGCGUCCUUCUUCCACCUCCGGCCGACCUCCACCUUCCUGCUCCAUGGCCGCCCAGCAGCAGCGCCCCUCCCCUGCUCCACGGCGAGCAGCAGCUCGUCCACCUCUUCCUCCCAUGGUGCCCAGAAAUUCCAGCAGCAAGGACUCCCUCUCCUCCACAGCAGCAGCAGCUCGACCCUCCUCUCCUCGCUGGCGCAAACCUCUCCCAUGGCGCGCUGCAGCAGAUGCCCUGGAGCAUCCCCACCAUGGCUCGCGACCCGGCUUCCUCCCUGCUUGCGUGCUGCUGCGCAGUGCCCCGUCGGUGCUUGCUAUGUGCUCGACGAAAUGCGCAGCAAGCCACGCGUCGUCGAUUUCCUGCAGCAGCCCCGGCGUCUCCGCGCUCUACGGGCUCGCUGUUUUAUAAAGCGCAGCGAACAGGACGACGUCGACACUCGCCGGUUGCUUGCUGUUUUUGCGCAGCCCCGUCGUCGUCGUCGUUCACCCUCGGUGAGACCACGGCAAUCCUUGUUUGAUUCCACAUUGGCAUUAUUCUUCGGUGAUUAAUUGUGUAUAUGUGCUGUUUUGUUUUGUUUUAUGGAGGAGAGGAACCCCGUGUUUUGCGUGAAGAAGAAGGCAAGCCGCUCAACGCUCGUCGGAUGUGCGGAGCUAUGCACAAAUCGAAUCGCCAACGUUCUUACAAACACCGAUUGGGACCGAGAGAUGAUGAUUGAGCCAGUGAUGUGGUGCCAACCACAAGAUGCAGAUGGUGGAACCUAAGGAAGGAUGGACAUAACCAGUAUUUACUCGCUAAGCGAGUACCUCCCCCAGCAAACACUAUCUAUGUGUUAAAUUAAAGGUACUCCUUAGGAUGAUUGGUUGAUGGUGUGACUUGGCCUUCAUCCCUGCCACCGGGAUAGACGGUCGAGAGGGUUAUUGCUUCCGCAGAAGAGGACCAGGAGGAGUAGCGUGGCCAGGCUUCGCCAUGUUACUCGGGUUUUCUCCGUUAAUUAUUUCCGCUGCAUUAAAAUUUAUGAUUAUUAUUUCUGAAACUCCGAUAAUGUAAUCACUAAUGAUACUUAUUAAAUUUGUG